This is a long non-coding RNA of Dermochelys coriacea (leatherback sea turtle), 160 nucleotides long. RefSeq lists it as uncharacterized. The transcript is spliced from 3 exons. Lineage: Eukaryota; Metazoa; Chordata; Testudines; Dermochelyidae. The record is from RefSeq and is a predicted model, not a curated record.
GAAACAGUUUGAAGAAAAUUACUAGGGUCUCCUCUUUGGUUUUCCCAAGCCAAUAAAAAGGAAGAAAAGCCUCUUGUGAUAGCUAAGGAAGUGAAAAGAACAGAAGAGGAAAAGAGGAUAACUCAAGAGAAGAAAGCUAUUCCUGAAACUAAAAAGAAAG